Molecule: non-coding RNA, 1363 nt
Organism: Paramuricea clavata
Lineage: Eukaryota; Metazoa; Cnidaria; Anthozoa; Malacalcyonacea; Plexauridae
Source: the annotation of a GenBank genome assembly
UAUACAAAUUUAUAAUGCAUUGGUAUCUCACCUCAUUGUGAAAACCCUAGCAUAUGCCGCAUGUGCAUGUGUUAGAAUGUGUCAAUGUAUUGAUUUAAUUAAGUUUAGUUUAGUUUAUGCCAAAUCCAUUGACGUAAUAGCCAGAGUAAACGUUGGACAGGAAGGACGUUUACUACAGUUAAUAAAUAAUAGUGCAUGAUAUAGACUGUGUUGAGAACACAUGUUAAAGAGUUAAGUUUACGCUCUUGAAGAGGUAACAUCAACGACGAAGUCAGAUCAAGAUAGAAAUAUUAAGUGUGAUAUAUAAUCUAUAUAUAACCAAUCAAAGUUUAUAUACCUAUAAUAAAUAAAGUUUUGGAGCAACUAUUGUGUAUGCAUUGGUAAUCCUAACUGGCAAAAAGUAACCUGUAUGGCACGAGGUAACACAACCCUGUGUUAACGUAGGCAAGUGUGCACAAUUGUAGCUACAAUUUUAAUGAUAUUAAACAAUAUUCAAUUUGUUUAAUUUAUUUGUACUGUACAAAUAACUAAAAUUUUCAAAAAUUGGUCCAAAUUCUGAUGAACAAACAAGAAUAUAUAUUUCGUUUAUACAUAUUUAAAAAUUUAAUAUUAUACAACACAAAAUAGCAUGUUUUGCAAUGUUUUGCACACUUUGUGUCCUUGUAAGUUGUAAAAGGAAAAUUAAUUUACAUGUCCUUGUAAUUGAGUUGCAUGUAAAUGGAAAAGUGUGCACUAGAAAAUGCCAUUUCUGACAAUGUAGAGACUCCAAAUUUCAAAACAUUUCUUGUGUGCCCAUGCUUACAUGCUAUAUGGUUUUGUUCAGUCAUGAAAACCUCAUGAUGAUCGCAAAACUCUGCUGUAGAUAGAAAUUCAAAACUUUAACCCAUUGAGUGGCAGCACUCUCCACUUGACGAGUAAAAUAUUCUGGCAUUAGACAGAGUAAAAUACAAUUACUAAAGUAGGCCGCAUCGGGGUGCAUUAAUUUGUCACUUAAGGGGUCAAGAGGAUACAGAGUCAGUUUUAUUCUACAACCCAUUGAGUGGCAGCACUCUCCACUUGACGAGUAAAAUCAUCUGACGUUAGACAAAGUAAAAUACUCUGGCAUUAGACAGAGUAAAAUACUAAAUGAACUAAUGAACUAAAAUAAUAAUGAACUAAUGAACUUUUUUGCACCCAUGAAUCAACAUUCACAAUUUUCAGGUGGUUGUUAUUAUUACACUUGUCUUAGAAGUCCUUAUUUUAAUGCAUGACAAAACUGGAAAAAAUCUGAAAUAUAUGUUAAUUAGUGUGCGAUACCAUAUAUUGGCCAUAGCCCGUGUGCAGGCCCACCAAGGGAAGAAUAGUUGGCCUGCAAGCAAGACCC